RNAcentral lists this small RNA (520 nucleotides) under uncultured Glomus. RNAcentral's name for it is "SSU rRNA". It matches the Rfam family "Eukaryotic small subunit ribosomal RNA", at positions 569 to 1090 of the family's 1831-position model. The record is from RNAcentral. Lineage: Eukaryota; Fungi; Glomeromycota; Glomeromycetes; Glomerales; Glomeraceae.
CGCAGCCGCGGUAAUUCCAGCUCCAAUAGCGUAUAUUAAAGUUGUUGCAGUUAAAAAGCUCGUAGUUGAAUUUCGGGGUUAGUAGGUUGGUCAUGCCUCUGGUAUGUACUGGUCUCACUGAUUCCUCCUUCCUGAUGAACCUUAAUGCCAUUUAUUUGGUGUUUUGGGGAAUUUGGACUGUUACUUUGAAAAAAUUAGAGUGUUUAAAGCAAGCUAACGCUUGAAUACAUUAGCAUGGAAUAAUGAAAUAGGACGUUCGAUCCUAUUUUGUUGGUUUCUAGGAUUGACGUAAUGAUUAAUAGGGAUAGUUGGGGGCAUUAGUAUUCAAUUGUCAGAGGUGAAAUUCUUGGAUUUAUUGAAGACUAACUACUGCGAAAGCAUUUGCCAAGGAUGUUUUCAUUAAUCAAGAACGAAAGUUAGGGGAUCGAAGACGAUCAGAUACCGUCGUAGUCUUAACCAUAAACUAUGCCGACUAGGGAUCGGAUGAUGUUAAUUUUUUAAUGACUCAUUCGGCGCCUUA